This 247-nucleotide ribosomal RNA is filed under the name uncultured bacterium. RNAcentral describes it as "partial 16S ribosomal RNA". It matches the Rfam family "Bacterial small subunit ribosomal RNA", at positions 524 to 769 of the family's 1533-position model. The record is from RNAcentral.
UGCGUAGGGUGCGAGCGUUAAUCGGAAUUACUGGGCGUAAAGCGUGCGCAGGCGGUUUUGUAAGCCAGAUGUGAAAUCCCCGGGCUUAACCUGGGAAUGGCAUUUGGGACUGCAAGGCUUGAGUGCGGCAGGAGGAGACUGGAAUUCCUGGUGUAGCAGUGAAAUGCGUAGAUAUCAGGAGGAACACCGAUGGCGAAGGCAGGUCUCUGGGCUGACACUGACGCUCAUGCACGAAAGCGUGGGGAGC